CUUUAAUAAAUUAAAUAUUGACUGAAAUUAAACAAUUGUAACUUUGUCCCUUACUAGCUGAAUUCUCACAUCUGAAUGGCUUACUAAAAAAAGAAAAGAAAAGAAAGGAAAAAUUGAGGUCCCCAGCACAGGAAACAAACAAAGAUGUGCGGUAAUUAACACGUGCGGGAUCUUCACUGCCGGAAGCACUCACGCUGCACGCAGGCACAGGCGGCAGAAGGUAGUACGUGCAGCAGGUGAUUCUCGGCGGUUCUCCCAUAGGGAUCCGGGGGUUUGGCUUGAUUAUUUUCCGUACGUUUUCCUUGCUUCUGCCAGACACCUGAGGGCACUGCCAGCCCGGGUCCAGAGCAGCCGGGCUCUAGCGUCUUUAACCCGCCCAUCUACUGGUUAUUUACAAUGCAGCACGUGUCCAUUGUGAUGCAAAAAGAACACCCCGUUCACACCCUCCCCUCCAUGUAUCCCGGUACACCAACCUGCCCACGGCUCAUCCAUACAGGGCUAAAUAAUCCGGGUGAUUUUAAAAUCAGAAUAAUAAUUUAAAAAAACAAUAGUUUUUUUUUUAUUGAUUUCAAUUUAAAAGGCUUUAUUUGGGGCAGACCUCCUUGAAAGGUUGUCGUAUUCGUGUCCAACAGGGUUUCUGAGACAUUUGUGUUCACUGGCUGGGAGUGUGCUGGGCCAGGAAGGCCGUGUGGUCUCCAAAGUCUCGCUUUGCAAUACAUCUUCAGGAACAGAUUCGGCUCACGUGAUGAGAAAUGCUGUCCUUCCCUUCUGGGCAGGGAGCCCUUCUUGGGGACAGAAGGCAGACUUCCCUUCGCUCUUGGCACGGGAAUGCUUUGGUUUCCCAUUUGCUGUUCAUCUUUGCACGUAUAGGUGGCCGAGAAGUCUUGAGAAGGAGGACUGAUUAGCCACAAGGGGCCCUCCACUCCUGGGUCCUUGGCCGAGUCACCACAUUUGCACCUUCGGGACCUCACCCAACCCUCCAACAGGAUGCUGAUGGAUGUCAUUGCAGACACUGAGACAUGACUCCGCUCUCCCUGCUCAAACGACAGACUUUGGGGCAGCUUCUGAAGGUCAGGGUUCAGGUCCUAGAGUGCUAGUGCACGUCGGAGCUGGUGUGGAUAUUAGGUGGCGUCAUCUCUUUUCAUCCUUGAUUUUGUGGUGUGGAAACAAGGGUCAGAAGAGGAAGGUGGUCUGCCAGGACACCCCAUUAAGGACCGUCGGACCCCUGGACAGGGUCCCUCCAGUUUUCCUGCCUCCCACUGGUUUUGCAGGUGUCCCAGAGCCCAGAUGCAACACAGAACUUGAACAUCACUGAACUGGGUAUUUCUUCAGCGUCCUUUCACCUCUAGACACAAGUCAGGACUACGCUGAGCUGCGAGGAACAGAAUCAAAAAGCAAAACAAGACAAAACACUGGGCUGGGGCUUCAAUCACAGAGGGAUUGUCCUCCUCCCCUACCAAGAAGACCGGACCCUCAUGAUCACAAAAUGGCUGCUUCCACUCCGGCAUCCUGUCUGUGCUCCCAGCAAGAAGAGAGGGACUGGCAAAGAGCUAGAAGUCCAUACCAGUUGGGUGACCUGCCUUUAAAGACUCUGCUGGAAGCCUCACCCCGUGAAUCUGCUUGUAUUUCAUGGGCCAGAAUGGGUCACGCAGCAUCCCAACGCACCAGGGAGAAUGGGAAAAAUAGUUUUGGGUUUUUUAAUCUGGGCCCGUCGCCACCGUGAAGAAAGCCUGGGUCCGAUGAGUAAAGCUGAUGAAGAGGGUGGUGGGCAACUAUAAAGGUGUCAGCCAGUCCCAGCCUGCCAUUAACAUGCGUGCUCUGGGACACACUCCCUCUCGGCCUCAGGCCUCAGUGUCCCCCCCUUCAAAACUGGGAGAAUUGGGCCCAGAUGCUAUCGGGCCGUCUCCAGCUCUGAUUGCUUGGGUGUAAAUCCUGCCUCCACUACCUCCUGGCUGUGUGACCUGGGGCAGGACAUCUGACAGCUCUGUUUCUCGGGUGCGCUAUAAAAUACGAACAAUCGUGGCAUCUAGUUCAUAGAUGUGAGGACCGAACGGGUUCUGUGUAGGUGGUAAUCCGACAGGAAGCCAGAGAAAACACUCAUUAUAUAACGCUGACGCGGCUGCUGCUGAGCUCGUAGGAGUUCUACCCCUGCUUAGCCCUGGGUGCUGUGUGACCUAGAGCAGGCCCCAUUCCCUCUCUGAGCCUCAGCCACUCAUCUCAUGAAAUGAGAGGCCAGAUGCUGUCUGGGGCCCUAGCGGCUCUGAGAGUUGCUCUCAGAAGCCGGGCCGGGCUGUUGACAGGACAGCAGCUCUCUUCCUGGGCUUGAGGGCAGGCGAGCUGGGGGGGCGGGGGUGUUGGAGAGGAAGGGGUCAGCUGGUUUCCUGUGGCCGGGGCGGUGACCUGGGCAGCACGGACUUCCUGUUUCCCAGGGGGAAUCCGGGACUGCUGUAGUCCAAAACCGUCGCUGGGGCAACCUUCCCUGCGUCAUCUCCCCGGUCAGCGUGUGCUUGAGGGAGGCGCUCGCAACAAUGGCCCUUUGUGUCCACAGCUCUGCUGGCCCCGGCCCGAGGAGUCUCGUGCCCGCCCAUUUUCCAGAUAAGAAAGCUGUGGCAUAGGUAGGUAAAGUCACUUGCCCACAGUCGCAAGGCUGGUGAGAAUUAAGGCAGGAACUGGGACCUGAGUCUUCUGAAAACAUCCACGGCCCUUAGCACCAGACUGUCCUUUGGGGCCCCCCGGACCCCGAAAGAGCCUAGAGCUUGACCCUCCAGUGGCCCGAGGACCUAGGAUGUGACCCUCAAGAGGAGCGGGUAGGGGCGCCUGGGUGGCUCAGUCGGUUGAGCGUCUGACUUCAGCUCAGGUCGCGAUCUCGCAGCGCAUGAGUUCGAGCCCCGCAUCGGGUUCGCUGCUGUCAGCCCGCUUUGGAUCCUCUGUCCCCCUCUCUCUGCCCCUCCCCUGCUUGCGCUCUCCCCAAAAUAAAUAAAUAUUACCAAAAAAAAAAAAAAAAAGA
RNAcentral lists this long non-coding RNA (3007 nucleotides) under Felis catus (domestic cat). RNAcentral's name for it is "lncRNA (ENSFCAG00000046951.1)". Lineage: Eukaryota; Metazoa; Chordata; Mammalia; Carnivora; Felidae. The record is from RNAcentral.